UCCCAUGUGGCUCAGUUGGUAGCGCAUGGUGUUUGCAACGCCAGGGUUGUGGGUUUGAUUCCCACAGGGGAC
This 72-nucleotide transfer RNA is filed under the name Salmo salar (Atlantic salmon). It matches the Rfam family "tRNA". From Rfam's summary of the family: Transfer RNA (tRNA) molecules are approximately 80 nucleotides in length. Their secondary structure includes four short double-helical elements and three loops (D, anti-codon, and T loops). Lineage: Eukaryota; Metazoa; Chordata; Actinopteri; Salmoniformes; Salmonidae. The record is from Rfam by way of RNAcentral.